AACGAACGCUGGCGGCAUGCCUAACACAUGCAAGUCGAACGAGACCUUCGGGCCUAGUGGCGCACGGGUGCGUAACGCGUGGGAACCUGCCCUUAGGUUCGGAAUAACUCACCGAAAGGGGUGCUAAUACCGGAUAAUGUCUUCGGACCAAAGAUUUAUCGCCUUUGGAUGGGCCCGCGUUGGAUUAGCUAGUUGGUAGGGUAAAAGCCUACCAAGGCGACGAUCCAUAGCUGGUCUGAGAGGAUGAUCAGCCACACUGGGACUGAGACACGGCCCAGACUCCUACGGGAGGCAGCAGUGGGGAAUAUUGGACAAGGGGCGAAAGCCUGAUCCAGCAAUGCCGCGUGAGUGAUGAAGGCCUUAGGGUUGUAAAGCUCUUUUACCCGGGAUGAUAAUGACAGUACCGGGAGAAUAAGCGCCGGCUAACUCCGUG
RNAcentral lists this ribosomal RNA (433 nucleotides) under uncultured bacterium. Its description in RNAcentral is "partial 16S ribosomal RNA". It matches the Rfam family "Bacterial small subunit ribosomal RNA", at positions 29 to 507 of the family's 1533-position model. The record is from RNAcentral.